RNAcentral lists this ribosomal RNA (253 nucleotides) under uncultured bacterium. Its description in RNAcentral is "partial 16S ribosomal RNA". It matches the Rfam family "Bacterial small subunit ribosomal RNA", at positions 524 to 776 of the family's 1533-position model. The record is from RNAcentral.
GACGGAAGGUGCAAGCGUUGCUCGGAAUCAUCGGGCGUAAAGGGUGCGUAGGCGGCUUGGUGGGUCUGGUGUGAAAGCCCCGGGCUUAGCCCGGGAAGGGCGCUAGAAACUGCCGAGCUCGAGUGCCGGAGGGGAGAGUGGAAUUCCCGGUGUAGCGGUGAAAUGCGUAGAGAUCAGGAGGAAUACCGGUGGCGAAAGCGACUCUCUGGACGGCAACUGACGCUGAGGCACGAAAGCGUGGGGAGCAAACAGG